Molecule: ribosomal RNA, 481 nt
Filed under: Babesia sp.
Lineage: Eukaryota; Apicomplexa; Aconoidasida; Piroplasmida; Babesiidae
Description: SSU rRNA
Rfam family: Eukaryotic small subunit ribosomal RNA
Source: RNAcentral
GACACAGGGAGGUAGUGACAAGAAAUAACAAUACAGGGCAUAUGUCUUGUAAUUGGAAUGAUGCCGACUUAAACCCUCGGCAGAGUACCAAUUGGAGGGCAAGUCUGGUGCCAGCAGCCGCGGUAAUUCCAGCUCCAAUAGCGUAUAUUAAACUUGUUGCAGUUAAAAAGCUCGUAGUUGAAUUUCAGCCCUUCGGCUUGCGAUUUUCGCUGUUGCCGUGGGCUUUUUUGUUUACUUUGAGAAAAUUAGAGUGUUUCAAGCAGACUUUUGUCUUGAAUACUUCAGCAUGGAAUAAUAGAGUAGGACCUUGGUUCUAUUUUGUUGGUUUUUGAGCCUUGGUAAUGGUUAAUAGGAACGGUUGGGGGCAUUCGUAUUUAACUGUCAGAGGUGAAAUUCUUAGAUUUGUUAAAGACGAACUAGUGCGAAAGCAUUUGCCAAGGACGUUUUCAUUAAUCAAGAACGAAAGUUAGGGGAUCGAAGA